Molecule: ribosomal RNA, 872 nt
Filed under: uncultured bacterium
Lineage: Bacteria
Description: bacterial SSU rRNA
Rfam family: Bacterial small subunit ribosomal RNA
Source: RNAcentral
GAAUUGCAGUUGAAACUGGCGUGCUUGAGUUCGGUCGAGGCAGGCGGAAUUCGUGGUGUAGCGGUGCAAUGCUUAGAUAUCACGAAGAACCCCGAUUGCGAAGGCAGCUUGCCAGGCCUGGACUGACGUUGAGGCUCGAAGGUGCGGGUAUCGAACAGGAUUAGAUACCCUGGUAGUCCGCACGGUAAACGAUGGAUACUCGCUGUCGGCGAUACACGGUCGGCGGCCAAGCGAAAGCGUUAAGUAUCCCACCUGGGGAGUACGCCGGCAACGGUGAAACUCAAAGGAAUUGACGGGGGCCCGCACAAGCGGAGGAACAUGUGGUUUAAUUCGAUGAUACGCGAGGAACCUUACCCGGGCUUGAACUGUGCCUGACUGCCUCAGAGAUGGGGCUUCCAGCAAUGGCAGGCAUGGAGGUGCUGCAUGGUUGUCGUCAGCUCGUGCCGUGAGGUGUCGGCUUAAGUGCCAUAACGAGCGCAACCCCUCCCGCCAGUUGCCAUCAGGUAAUGCUGGGCACUCUGGGGGCACUGCCACCGCAAGGUGUGAGGAAGGUGGGGAUGACGUCAAAUCAGCACGGCCCUUACGUCCGGGGCUACACACGUGUUACAAUGGGGGGUACAGCAGGCUGCUACCCGGCGACGGGAUGCUAAUCCGUAAAACCCCUCUCAGUUCGGACUGGAGUCUGCAACCCGACUCCACGAAGCUGGAUUCGCUAGUAAUCGCGCAUCAGCCACGGCGCGGUGAAUACGUUCCCGGGCCUUGUACACACCGCCCGUCAAGCCAUGAAAGCCGGGNNNNCCUGAAGUGCGCUUCCGCGAGGGGCGCCCUAGAGUAAAACCGGUGAUUGGGGAUAAGUCGUAACAAGGUAACCA